GCCUGGCCGUAAAUCUUGAUACUCGAUAUUACCUGAGUGUCCGCCCGAGAACUACGAGCACAAACGCUUAAAACUCUAAGGACUUGGCGGUGCCCCAAACCCACCUAGAGGAGCCUGUUCUGUAAUCGAUGAUCCACGAUAUUACCUGACCAUUUCUCGCCCAAAAUCAGCCUAUAUACCGCCGUCGCCAGCUCACCUUUCCUGACGGUCCAACAGUGAGCGCAAUAGCCCCACACGCUAACAAGACAGGUCAAGGUAUAGCCUAUGGAAUGGAAGCAAUGGGCUACAUUUUCUAGAAUAGAACAUACGGCAAAGGGAUAUGAAACUGUCUCUGGAAGGCGGAUUUAGCAGUAAAGUGGGACAAUCGAGCCCUCUUUAAGCCGGCCCUGGGGCACGU
Molecule: ribosomal RNA, 397 nt
Filed under: Dumetella carolinensis (grey catbird)
Lineage: Eukaryota; Metazoa; Chordata; Aves; Passeriformes; Mimidae
Description: partial 12S ribosomal RNA
Rfam family: Bacterial small subunit ribosomal RNA
Source: RNAcentral